This is a non-coding RNA of Schizosaccharomyces pombe (fission yeast), 922 nucleotides long. The record is from the annotation of a GenBank genome assembly. NCBI's taxonomy places the organism in Eukaryota, Fungi, Ascomycota, Schizosaccharomycetes, Schizosaccharomycetales, Schizosaccharomycetaceae.
AAUUUUACAUUGUCCUUAAUGCAUUAAAGGAAUGACUGUCUUAUUGUAAACAGCUACACUAGUAAUUAUUUUAAAAAGAUUACCAUAUUAUCCUACUAAUACAAAGCCAUUUUUUAAAUGUUCAGGUAUAAUCGUAAAAGCAAAAUUACAAGCGCUGAACAAUCACACAAAAUAUUUGUUGAAAAAUGAUAUGUAUAUAAAUAUAUGUUAUAGCUGCAAAAAAUGAUCCAAUUCGUACUCAAAUUUUGACGAAUCGCUUCAAAAUCAGUUAUCCACACCCCCAUUACCUUGUCCAAAUGGCAAGAAACUUUCAGUGCAAGUAGCUGUAUAAGCAUAGGAUGUGGGAUUAUACGAAUUGCCUUCAGAGUCGACGAAGCUAAAAUCAAACCCACCUUUACCAGCUCCAUUUGCAACGACAAAUCUGACUGGGACGUAAGUGUCUGCAGUCAAGGAACCCAUGCUAAAUGAAGCAAUGCCGGUUUGGCCGUUAGUAGCAUGCCAGUAAGCAUAGGUAUCGUAAUUUGUGUUGGACCAUCCGGAAAUAGCCUUGUCACCGAACCAACCAUAAAAUACAUCAUCAACGUUAGUGACGUCCAAACUAAAUGUAUCUGUAACAGGAACCCUGAAAAAGAAUUGAUAAACAAUAACCUUACAGGCAGAGCUCGUACUACCCAUAGCAGUAGCGUCUGGUGGAUAACCAGGAAGAUUAUAAGAAGAAGUCCAUUGAGGCACACUAUCAGAUGAACUCAAGACACCAGUGAAUAGAGGAGAGGAUUGGUCAAGGUCACUAGAUCCAAAAUAGGCUGGCUGGGUGAAAGAAGAAACAUCUGUUACACCACUAGUUGCACAAAAUUGGUUUUUCGAAGAGGAAAUAUCAUAGUUAUAAACGGCAUAUUGCAAACCACGCUCACCAUUGCAUACA